GACGAACGCUGGCGGCGUGCCUAAUACAUGCAAGUUGAGCGAUGAAGCUUGGUGCUUGCACCAAUUUGAAGAGCAGCGAACGGGUGAGUAACGCGUGGGGAAUCUGCCUUUGAGCGGGGGACAACAUUUGGAAACGAAUGCUAAUACCGCAUAACAACUUUAAACAUAAGUUUUAAGUUUGAAAGAUGCAAUUGCAUCACUCAAAGAUGAUCCCGCGUUGUAUUAGCUAGUCGGUGAGGUAAAGGCUCACCAAGGCGAUGAUACAUAGCCGACCUGAUAGGGUGAUCGGCCACAUUGGGACUGAGACACGGCCCAAACUCCUACGGGAGGCAGCAGUAGGGAAUCUUCGGCAAUGGACGAAAGUCUGACCGAGCAACGCCGCGUGAGUGAAGAAGGUUUUCGGAUCGUAAAACUCUGUUGGUAGAGAAGAACGUUGGUGAGAGUGGAAAGCUCAUCAAGUGACGGUAACUACCCAGAAAGGGACGGCUAACUACGUG
RNAcentral lists this ribosomal RNA (497 nucleotides) under uncultured bacterium. RNAcentral's name for it is "partial 16S ribosomal RNA". It matches the Rfam family "Bacterial small subunit ribosomal RNA", at positions 28 to 507 of the family's 1533-position model. The record is from RNAcentral.